Molecule: long non-coding RNA, 1433 nt
Filed under: Macaca nemestrina (pig-tailed macaque)
Lineage: Eukaryota; Metazoa; Chordata; Mammalia; Primates; Cercopithecidae
Description: lncRNA (ENSMNEG00000045741.1)
Source: RNAcentral
CUCUUCAUCCGGUUGUAGCAGGAUGUCCCUCCUUAGGCCAUGAGUAACUGCUGAGGCAGGUGUGGUUUGGUUACAGUUACAAUCUUGGAGGAAAAGUUUAAUUUUGUUCUUUAGAUAUCUGGUGAUGUUUUUUCAAAGGCAUAUAUAAGGGACACCACAGACCACUGAUGUGUGCUUUCAACUAUUAAUUUAUAAGAAGUGUUUUUGAGAUAACCAGAAAUAGAGGAGUCAGAGUGGUCUAAAGGGAAAUGACUCAGGCAUCCUUUUGAAAAGAUACCAGCUAAUGAAACCGUUAUCUUUCUGACUGGCCCCAGGCUGAGGUUUUGCCAUGAGAGGUCUUUCAGUGUUAAUUUAACCAGGACAGUUGCUGUUUUAAAAGGGUUUGCUAGCCGGGCUGCCAGAUCUGACAGAAAGAGUAGCUGCCUCCCCUGAUGUGAUUUAAAGGGCAGUGAAAGUUCAGCCAGCCCCUGAUCUCCUCCCCAGUGGCCUUACUUCACUUGGAAAUGUUCAUGAUUAGAGAUACUCCAUUGGGCAAAGGCCUUGUCUCCAGAAGACACUAAUAAACAAGACUAUAUUUUAUCUGAAUUUAUCAUUAAUGCCCUUUCUGAAUUCAUGAGCAGAUGAGUGAGUUAGGCAACCAGCUGGAGCAAAGCCUGAUGAUUGAGACACGAGAUGGGUACACUUAUGAUGAGAAUGUCUGAAGCAAGAUCAAGAGAAACGCCACCUGGAACACAGCUGUGACUUGAUAAACACGUGAAAUAUUCUUUGGUGUGGUGAGGGGAAAACAGAUUUCUCAAAGGACACGCACCAUGGUGUAUGAGAGGACACUGGAGCCCAGCCAGCAUCUGACAUGCUGAAAUCAAAGUGCAGGUUGGGGUAAGGGGAAAGAUGUCACUCUCUUUCUUUGUCUAAGUAUAAAUUGGAGUGGAGGAAUGACCAGACUGUGUUGAUGGUACUGAUUUCGGAGCCAUCUUGAACCUCAGUAAAAAACCUAUUUCUGUGUUGCCAGAAAGCUCUCCAGCCAUCAACUUGCCUACAUGUGAGAAGGCCUCAUUAUCAGAAACCUCUGUGGAAACUCAGCAUCUACCUUUGGCUGGUCUUGUUUCUUGUACUCCUAGAAUUUUCAGAAUGUUCUCCAAAGGGAUUGUUUUGCUUGCCGAUAAAAAGAGACACUUGGGAGCACCAUACUCUCUCCUAUUCCUCUGAAUAUCAUGUUUCCUUAUGACACCUGAAACUCUGAUGCCUUCUGGGUCCAUGAAAGCAGUGAGAUGAGCACAGGAAACCAUGCUGAGGAUGGUUGAGCAAAAAGGUGACAUUGAGCCACUGGAUUAACCUGCCCAGAAACAGGAUAUCUUCAGAUUUCUUGUUAAGUAAGAAAAUGUAAUUUCAUUGAUUCUAAGUUACACUUUCUUUUAUUAGUUCAACAUCUCUGA